GUAUGACUCUCGGCAACGGAUAUCUCGGCUCUCGCAUCGAUGAAGAACGUAGCGAAAUGCGAUACUUGGUGUGAAUUGCAGAAUCCCGCGAACCAUCGAGUCUUUGAACGCAAGUUGCGCCCGAGGCCAUUCGGUCGAGGGCACGCCUGCCUGGGCGUCACG
RNAcentral lists this ribosomal RNA (162 nucleotides) under Ixiolirion tataricum. RNAcentral's name for it is "5.8S ribosomal RNA". It matches the Rfam family "5.8S ribosomal RNA". From Rfam's summary of the family: 5.8S ribosomal RNA (5.8S rRNA) is a component of the large subunit of the eukaryotic ribosome. It is transcribed by RNA polymerase I as part of the 45S precursor that also contains 18S and 28S rRNA. Functionally, it is thought that 5.8S rRNA may be involved in ribosome translocation. Lineage: Eukaryota; Viridiplantae; Streptophyta; Magnoliopsida; Asparagales; Ixioliriaceae. The record is from RNAcentral.